Long non-coding RNA from Microplitis mediator, 2120 nucleotides. RefSeq lists it as uncharacterized. The transcript is spliced from 4 exons. The record is from RefSeq and is a predicted model, not a curated record. NCBI's taxonomy places the organism in Eukaryota, Metazoa, Arthropoda, Insecta, Hymenoptera, Braconidae.
AUUAUUUGUUAUCACAACAUUCAAUAGAGAGUGAUGAUAAAUAUUUUUUUUUCCAUUUCAUUCGUCAAUGACACUUACUUACAAAUUUCAAAAAUCUUUUGAUUGUCGCCAAAGUAAUUGUUGAAACUCAUCAUUUACUGUGUGAGUGCAAGAAAGAUCAUUAUCUUUAUUUUCUUCGUGUCAGAAACAGAUCAAAAUGAUACUGAAAGCAGUUGACAUUAUAAAAGUUUUUAUUUUUAAAAAUAUAUUAUUUGUGAUGGAAAAAAAAAAAAAAUACUUUUUGCAAUAAAUUUUUUAAAUUAAUAUUCUAUUUGUUUUUAUAAAAGAAAAAUAAACUUGUUUCAAAUCUGCUACUAAAUGAUUAAUUAACAAUUUAUUGGGUAGUGCAAGAUGAAAGGUAGUGUACAUAUUUAAUUAAACUGAGUUGACAAUCUGUGGAUUACUUGAAGACAACACAUGACUUAAAUCCGUACUCUGGUAUUUCUUAACAAAUAAUUAGUCAUGCUAAAAUAAUUGAGCUAAUAAUUAUUAGCGAUGAUCUUUAAGCUGUCAUCAGUUUCAUUUCGCUUGACUCAGAGUUUAAAAAGGUGCAAACUGUUGAAGAAUGAAAUCUGCUACGUUAUGACAAUGAAUAAAUAAAUUAAAAAACUCAUUCAUAAUUUGGUGUAAGGUAAUGAAGACGAAUCAGAAGUUAACAUGAAACAGAGAGGCCAAAAAUCACCUGAAAAGGAUCCUAAUAAUUGUUUAGAAGAAGCCAACGACUUGUAUUAAAAAAUUUUGUAUUGAAUCAUUCAUUAUGGAGAAAAGUUUAUGGUAAAAGUUACAGUAUACUAUGGAAAUGGUUCACUCUUGAAAAAGUAAAUCAGACAGUUCUUAAACCAGUUUAUGCUGAUUUUCAAUUUAUUUCUUAAAAAAUUCAGUGAUACUGAAAGUAGUCGACGUCUAAUAAUUUUUGAAUUUUUUUUAAAAAGAGUAAAUUAUAAAAAAAUACAUUUUAAGAAAUUGCACCUAUAGUUUUUUUAAUUUCUUACAUGUGCAUAUUUUGACUUAAAUUUUUUAUUCUUUCUUUGUAAUUAAUUUGUGGAAAAAAAAAAAAAAAAAAAAAAAAAAAAUACGAAAAUUAUGAAUUGUCUGGUAACUUCAGGAUCAUAACAUUCAUAAUAAAAUUUCCGGUUCCCUAUCACUUUCAUUAUCAUAAAGUAGUGUCCCAAGAAAAUUUUUACUUGGAUUAAGAAAUUUUACGCAUAUGAAAAAUCAAAGACAAAAAUUUUUUCGGAGCAAGAAAAAAUUUUUUGGGGCGAGAAAAAAAUUGAAAAGUGAAUAAUUAAAUAAUUCAAAUGGCUGCAAAUCAAUUUCAAUAAACUACGGCCCCACCAUCAAAGAACAGUUGCUGAAGAACGUUGCUAAAGUUUGCGGCGAGUACAUGGCUCGUGACCCAGAAGAAGUCCGCUUCACAAUGAUUGCCCUGGUGGCCAUUGAGCAGUGAUUCACAAUAAUUCAACAAAUAAUUAUCAAAUAAUCCUUUCUUAUAACUAAGAAAAAUAUUUAAAAUAUCAAAAUUAGAUAUUACAAUUAUUAUGACAAGGAAUCAAAUCAAAUUAAAUAAAUCAGUGUGCAAUACAAUUCCGAUUGAAUUUUUGAUUUGAUAAUUCAUGUAAAACUUCGUACUAUAAAUGUUUGUGAUCUUUUUUUAAACACAUGUAUUUAACGGAACUUUAAAUUUAAAAUAAAAUUAAAAAUAAUUAUUUUGCAAAGGAAACUCUUUUAAUUUUAAUUUUUAAUUUAUAAAAGUUUAUUAGAGUGAAAUAGUGAAUUCUAGUAAUGGAAGUGAAUAUAAAUUUUAAUUUAAAUCCUGUAACUGCGCUCUUUUGAUUAAUUAGUUGUUACUUUAAUGUCAAUUGAAAAUUGAUAAUGAUUAUUAAUAAUAAGAAGGUGGCUAGUGAAUAAGUGAAUACUGGAUUACGAGUAAACAAACAAAGUUUCAUUUUAUUUUUUGUUUUAAAUGAAGAAAGUCAAUAUCGGUUAUAGAUUGUAUUGAUAAUGCAGGUUUUAAUGCACCAUCAGCGACCCCCUUCUAUUAUCCUAGUCCACUAUAAAACUUUAUGUCAAUAAAUAUAAUA